Molecule: ribosomal RNA, 425 nt
Filed under: uncultured bacterium
Lineage: Bacteria
Description: partial 16S ribosomal RNA
Rfam family: Bacterial small subunit ribosomal RNA
Source: RNAcentral
GUGAGGAAUUUUCCGCAAUGGGCGAAAGCCUGACGGAGCAAUGCCGCGUGAGUGAUGAAGGCCUUCGGGUUGUAAAGCUCUUUAGCCGAUGAUUAUAAUGACUGUAGUCGGAAAAUAAGCCCCGGCUAACUUCGUGCCAGCAGCCGCGGUAAUACGAAGGGGGCGAGCGUUAUUCGGAAUCACUGGGCGUAAAGCGUGCGUAGGCGGCUUUGCAAGUUGGGAGUGAUAGCCAAGGGCCCAACCCUGGAAUUGCUCUCAAAACUGCAAGGCUGUAAUUCGGGAGAGGAUAGCGGAAUGGUCAGGGUAGCAGGGAAAUGCUUAGAUAUUGACAGGAACACCAGUGGCGUAAGCGGCUAUCUAGACCGAUAUUGACGCUGAGGCACGAAAGCGUGGGGAUCAAACAGGAUUAGAAACCCAGGUAGUCC